Non-coding RNA from Triticum aestivum (bread wheat), 125 nucleotides. NCBI's taxonomy places the organism in Eukaryota, Viridiplantae, Streptophyta, Magnoliopsida, Poales, Poaceae. The record is from Rfam.
CUUAUACUCCCUUCGUCCAUAAAUACUUGUCACAUAAAUGUAUAAAAGUGGAUGUAUCUAGAACUAAAAUACGUCUAGAUACAUCCAUUUCUUUGACAAGUAUUUCCGGACGGAGGGAGUAUUUA